UGAAUACGAGAUGCUACGGCGUCGAAGCAGUCUAUGUCAUACUUCCAAGAAAAGCUCGCACUGUCAUAAACAAAUAAUGCCUGUACCAUAACCGACACAGGUGGGUAGGUAGAGUAUACUAAGGGGCGCGAGAUAACUCUCUCUAAGGAACUCGGCAAAAUGACUCCGUAACUUCGGGAGAAGGAGUGCCUUAUUUAUAAGGUUGCAAUAACAAGAUCCAAGCAACUGUUUAUCAAAAACACAGGUCUCCGCUAAGUCGUAAGACGAUGUAUGGGGGCUGACGCCUGCCCAGUGCCAGAAGGUUAAAGAAGUUGGUUAGCAUUCGCGAAGCUGAUAACUGAAGCCCUGGUGAACGGCGGCCGUAACAAUAACGGUCCUAAGGUAGCGAAAUUCCUUGUCGGGUAAGUUCCGACCCGCACGAAAGGCGUAAUGAUUUGGAUACUGUCUCGGAGAGGGGCUCGGUGAAAUAGACUUGUCUGUGAAGAUGCGGACUACCUGCACCAGGACAGAAAGACCCUAUGAAGCUUUACUGUAACUUGAGAUUGAAAUUGGACUUUACUUGCGCAGUAUAGGUGGGAGGCGUUGAUAAUAUUCUUGCGGGAUUAUUUGAGCCAUCAGUGAGAUACCACUCUUGUAAUGUUAGAUUUCUAACUUUGUAUCAUUAUCUGGUCAAAGGACAGUUUCAGGCGGGCAGUUUGACUGGGGCGGUCGCCUCCUAAACGGUAACGGAGGCGCACAAAGGUUUCCUCUGAACGGGUAGAAAUCGUAUCUAGAGUGUAAAGGCAUAAGGAAGCUUGACUGUGAGACCUACAAGUCGAGCAGGGACGAAAGUCGGUCUUAGUGAUCUGACGGUGCUGAGUGGAAAGGCCGUCACUCAACGGAUAAAAGUUACUCUAAGGAUAACAGGCUGAUCUCCCCCAAGAGUUCACAUCGACGGGGAGGUUUGGCACCUCGAUGUCGGCUCAUCGCAUCCUGGGGCGGUAGUACGUCCCAAGGGUUGGGCUGUUCGCCCAUGAAAGCGGUACGCGAGCUGGGUUCAGAACGUCGUGAGACAGUUCGGUCCUUAUCCGGUGUAGGCGUUAGAAUAUUGAGAGGAGCCUUCUUUAGUACGAGAGGACCGAGAAGGACAUACCUCUGGUGUACCAGUUAUCGUGCCAACGGUAAACGCUGGGUAGCUAUGUAUGGAGUGGAUAACCGCUGAAAGCAUCUAAGUGGGAAGCCCACCUCAAGAUAAGUAUUCUCA
RNAcentral lists this ribosomal RNA (1243 nucleotides) under metagenome. RNAcentral describes it as "bacterial LSU rRNA". It matches the Rfam family "Bacterial large subunit ribosomal RNA", at positions 1564 to 2816 of the family's 2925-position model. The record is from RNAcentral.